Molecule: ribosomal RNA, 532 nt
Filed under: uncultured bacterium
Lineage: Bacteria
Description: bacterial SSU rRNA
Rfam family: Bacterial small subunit ribosomal RNA
Source: RNAcentral
GGGGAAUAUUGCACAAUGGGCGCAAGCCUGAUGCAGCGACGCCGCGUGGGGGAUGACGGCCUUCGGGUUGUAAACUCCUUUCGCUAGGGACGAAGCUUUUUGUGACGGUACCUAGAUAAGAAGCACCGGCUAACUACGUGCCAGCAGCCGCGGUAAUACGUAGGGUGCGAGCGUUGUCCGGAAUUACUGGGCGUAAAGGGCUCGUAGGUGGUUUGUCGCGUCGUCUGUGAAAUUCCGGGGCUUAACUCCGGGCGUGCAGGCGAUACGGGCAUAACUUGAGUACUGUAGGGGUAACUGGAAUUCCUGGUGUAGCGGUGAAAUGCGCAGAUAUCAGGAGGAACACCGAUGGCGAAGGCAGGUUACUGGGCAGUUACUGACGCUGAGGAGCGAAAGCAUGGGUAGCGAACAGGAUUAGAUACCCUGGUAGUCCGUGCCGUAAACGGUGGGCGCUAGGUGUGAGGGUCUUUUCACGACUUUCGUGCCGUAGCUAACGCAUUAAGCGCCCCGCCUGGGGAGUACGGCCGCAAGGCUA